This 389-nucleotide ribosomal RNA is filed under the name Syndiniales sp. Its description in RNAcentral is "partial small subunit ribosomal RNA". It matches the Rfam family "Eukaryotic small subunit ribosomal RNA", at positions 582 to 975 of the family's 1831-position model. The record is from RNAcentral. Lineage: Eukaryota; Dinophyceae; Syndiniales.
AUUCCAGCUCCAAUAGCGUAUGUUAAAGUUGUUGCGGCUAAAAAGCUCGUAGUUGGAUUUCUAGAUGAGAGGAGUGGUCCACUCUAUGAGUGUGUAUCUACUUCCGCUCGUCUAUCCGCUCUGCAUACGUGUCUGCGCUUGACUGCGUGGCGCGGAGGUAGGGCCUUUUACUUUGAGGAAAUUAGAGUGUUCACGGCAGGCAAUCGCCUUGAAUAUAUUAGCAUGGAAUAAUAGCAUAGGAUCUUGGUCCUAUUUUGUUGGUUUCUAGGGCUAAGAUAACGAUUAAUAGGGACAAUUGGGGGCAUUCGUAUCGCGGUGUCAGAGGUGGAAUUCUUGGAUUACUGCGCGACGAACUACUGCGAAAGCAUUUGCCAAGGAUGUUUUCAUUA